This 299-nucleotide signal recognition particle RNA is filed under the name Cebus imitator (Panamanian white-faced capuchin). Its description in RNAcentral is "Metazoan signal recognition particle RNA (ENSCCAG00000000860.1)". It matches the Rfam family "Metazoan signal recognition particle RNA". Rfam says of the family: The signal recognition particle (SRP) is a universally conserved ribonucleoprotein. The record is from RNAcentral. Lineage: Eukaryota; Metazoa; Chordata; Mammalia; Primates; Cebidae.
GCCGGGUGCAGUGGUGCGUGCCUGUAGUCCCAGCUACUUGGGAGGCUGAGACUGGAGGAUCGCUCGAGUCCAGGAGUUGUGGGCUGUAGUGCGCUGUGCUGAUCGGGUGCCUGCACUAAGUUUGGCAUCAAUAUGGUGACCUCCCGGGAGCAGGGGAUCACCAGGUUGCCUAAGGAGGGAUGAACCGGCCCAGGUCAGAAACGGAGCAGGUCAAAACUCCCGUGCUGAUUAGUAGUGGGAUCGCUCCUGUGAAUAGCCACUGCACUCCAGCCUGGGCAACAUAGCGAGACACCGUCUAU